RNAcentral lists this long non-coding RNA (6904 nucleotides) under Sus scrofa (pig). Its description in RNAcentral is "lncRNA (ENSSSCG00000062597.1)". The record is from RNAcentral. Lineage: Eukaryota; Metazoa; Chordata; Mammalia; Artiodactyla; Suidae.
GCAGAAGUAAGGAGUGCAGUUAGUUGGAAGGCUAAAAGAAUGGGGCUAAGGUCCCAGGUCUGCCAUGUUUCCUGUGGUGUGAGCUUAGGCAAGCCAUCUCCCUUCCAUGAUCCUCAUUUUCCACAUCUGAAGAAGAAAUUAAUUAAUGAGAGCUGCCUCUCCAAGUUGCUACCAAGAUCAGGUGAAAUAACAUAUGUGAAAACAAUUUUUACCAUCCUUGAAUCUGCAUGCAGUGUUACUGAUCAUCAUUUACUCAUUGAGAACUGACUUCUGUCUCCCUGCUCCAGUAACUCUGCUGGGCCCAAGAUGGGUCCACCUCGUUCAGAUGAGCACUCAAGAGAGGUGAGGGCAUGGCUGUCUUGGACAGCCCUCACAGGUCCCAUUUCAGAAACACUUUUCCUCACUGGGCUGGAUCUUCCUCUUUCCACCUCUGCUGUUCUUGUCUCAUCCCCAAGGCUUUCCAUCAGCCACCACAGUUUCUCCUCACACAAUAUAAAUAAGACUUUACUCCCUCUAGGAGUAUUUGUCGUAUAAAUGGUGAUUAUGCCAAUGGAAGUGGUUCUGAAAUCUUCAGUAUCAGCACUCCAGAUCUUUCUCUGUCUUUAUCUCUCUCUCUCUCUCUCACACACACACACACACACGAAUACACGUGCACACACUAAACAACUGCCAGUGACUGGCAUACAUAGCCUCCAACUAUAAAACCCUGAAGGCAGGAACCGUAUCUUAAUCACUGAAUUCCCAGUGCUUAGCACAAAGUCUGACACACAGUAGCUGCCUAAUAAAUGUUCCCUGGAAAGGUGACUGAAUGAAUAAAUGACUGGAUGAGUGACCGAAAUGACCAGUAUGACCUUGAGUGUUUCCAGGGUUGCCCAUGGCUGCAGACACUUCUUGGACUAGCUACUGUAGCUCAUAUUUCCCAGUAUUCCUGCCCCCAAUAAGAACCCUACCACACUUCCUCUGAUUUGGAACUGCUGGACACCCUGCUAUCCUCUGAAGUCCAUGCCCCCUCCUCUGUACAUCCUUGGUCUGCAUCUGGGAUGGCUGAGCUAUUUCUCACCAUGUGAAGUUAUCCAUGUGGGUCAUUCUAAAGGGAACUUAGCUACUUGUUUUUCUCCUGGGAUUCAGUGUCCUUCUGGUCCAUGUCCCACUACCCACCCAAGCUGCCCCUGGGAAGUUGGUGUCACUUAGUGCAAACAGGUUGGUUCCAUUCCAGAGCCUUUUGUUAGUAAGCUUUUCUGAUCAGGCCUGUUUGGGCUUAAAGCAAAUGUGAAAUCCACAGCAGACCCUUUGUUUUGCAGACAUAAUUCAACUCUUAGAGAAUUCAGAUGUCUGGAAAGAGUUGCACAGCUUCUGCUGAACUUGUAGGGAGGCACUGGGAUAGAAAGAGCACAAACUGGAGAUAACAAGAUCUAGAUUUAAUCUCGGCCCUGCCACUUUAGGGACAAGAAAAUUUUCUUCUCUGGGCCUUUGUUUGUUCACUCAGAAAAUGAAUAUAAUCAUUCUUUUAUUUGGUCUAGAAUGCUUAUAAUUACAAGUGACAUAAACAAACUUGAUUUGGAGGGUGAGGGAUGGAAAGUAGGAAAUCCAUGGUAGUCUGUUCAGCCUCAGUCAAGGUUAGAACCAGAAGUUAAAUCAUAUUUCAAAGUUCUGAUACUGUCUCAAUCUCUAUUUUAUUUCUUAUGUUAUUUCAUCCUGAGAAUGCCUGUCAAUAGUGGCGGUAAAAAGUGCCCUAUUCAGCCAAUCAAAAGAAAGAGACCCUUUGGGUUGAGGACUUGACGUUGUCUCUGUGAGAAUGUGGGUUUGAUUCCUGACCUCAGUCAGUGGGUUAAGGAUCUGGCGUUGUCACAGCUGCAGUGUAGGUUGCAGAUGUGGCUGGGAUCUGGUGUUGCUGUGUCUGUGAGGUAGGCCCGAGCUGCAGCUCUGAUUUAACCCCUAGGUCUGGGAACUUCCAUAUGCCACAGAUGUGGCCUUAAAAAGAGAAAAAAAAAAAACCCAAAAAACAAAGAUCAGAAAAUGAACAGAUCCUUGCUUUUCUAGCAGGUGUACUUCAUAGAAGAAAUCUGCCCAAUCUAACCUGGACCAAAUAACCAUGUCAGUGUCCAAGGCCUUAAGGCUUGGUAAUUGACAGCUCACCAGGGCUAAAGGCAUAAAGGCACAUGUGAGUGAUGGUUACUCCAUGGAAGGGAUGCUGUAAGAUGAAUACAAGUUCAUUACAGAAUUCCCUCAAAGGAGUUCUUAAUGAGGCAUGUGUAAAGUUCCUCAUGUAUCAUGAGACGGCAUCUGAAAAAUCUCUGAAACAAUGUCAGAAACACAGUGGGGUUCAAUAGGCUUUAGUUCUUUGCCUCCCUUUCCCCAACCCCUUUUGAAGGGGUGAGGAUCUCAGAGAGCCCAACCUCUCUACUGUGAGUAAGUGAUUCUCUAGAACAAAACGUCCAGGAAACAGAUGAACUCCCAUUUAGGAGGAACCACCUGCACUGCCUAGGCCAAAAUGAUUUGAGUGUUAAGAUAAACUGCAGGCAAGGACCUUUAUUUUUGCAUGUGUGUCCCUUAGCACUUGUCCCUUGUUCAGCUCACAGGGGAGUCCCCAAAAUCUUCUGAGUUACACCAAUAGAAUAUGGUAUGAAAUAAUUUCAAAGUAACAUUUGGCAGUGUUCCCUCCUACUAGCAAGAUAAAAACCAGAAACCUCAAUACUUGGAAUAUAACUUAAGACUCCAUUUCCCAAAGUAUUUUUCUAUAAAAUUUGACAUUCUAUUCAAGUCAUGCACAUUGGGCAAGGUCAACCCUUCUGUAGAUUCCCAUGACUUUGGGAGCACCUUGUGACAUGCAUCACACCUCCAAUUGUGUGGAACGUUGUGUAACUUGGUCUUGAAAGAAGACCACUGAAUUGAACUUUGUAGACCUGGAGAGCACCUCAGUUUGUAGAACAGGAAAUAGAGUGCUCAUUACAGGUGUCAUAAGCUAAGCAGGAAGUUAGACCACUUUGUGUUCCUAGAAAACAAAAGUAAAAUGCACUGGUUGAUACUUUAUUUCCCAAGGUCUCUAAUAAACUCCCUGUAGACAUUAUUGGCUGAGAUAAGAAGACAGUUCUCAGGGAGGACUCUGAAUCUGAGAAGAAAAGUCUUCAAUAUUUAUAAUUAGGCAUUUUCUUUGCCAGGAAGAAGUAAAUGACAUAGGGAUCUCCUUACUUAUUAAGAGAUAUGGAAAUGACUUCGAUGGGCUAUAAAAUGUAAGGUGCUAAGUUUUCCCAGUGCCACCACAAGGAGAAAAUGAGAUGUUGAAAAGGAAAGAGAUGGAAUCUAUCUUUGGAUAGAAUCUAUCUUUAGAUGGAUUCUAAAGGUGAAGCCAUUCUUAUAGGUUCUCUUGCUGAAAUCAGCAAAAAGCAUCCACAUUAAAUAAUAGCAACGGUAGAGAAUGCUUGUUCAGCACUUAUGGCUUCCCAGGCCCUGAGCUAAGUCCUUCAAAUGCAUUGUCUUUUUGAAAUCUCAAAGUAACCCAACAGGUAGCUGUUACUGAUCCUAUUAUACAAAUGAAGAUCUUGAGGCUUGGAAAGUUUAAAUAACUUGCCUAAUCUUCCACAAUUCAUAAAUGGAGGACAUGGAACAUAAACUCGUGUUGGUACUAGAGCCUUAGCCACUAAACCAUAAUAAUUUCUGAAUUAGAGCAGAAGAGAUUUAAGAUAAUCUGUGGGGAAAAAAAUAAAUACAGAGGGAUAUACCAAUAAUGGAAUUUUCUAAGCCUUUAGUUUAUCUUUAAACAUAGUUCUGUUCUAAGAACAGGCUUUUCCUACACACUAACUUCUAUUGCCUCCCCAUCUGUGUUUUUAAUAAAGAUAAUUAGGGUCACUUUGGUUCAACCAGUCCUUAUUUAUAAUUAUACUGCACCUGGAAACCCAAAAGAAUGUACAGAUUCAUGUUAGCUCCCAGUCAGUGCUUGGAAGGGUUUACUUUGCCCUCAAAAGACAAGCGGUCUUUAGUGAAGAAUUCAGGAAAUUAGGCAUUGGACCAGUCCAAAGAGCCCAGCAACUAAAAUUGGUCUCUAGUUCUCUAUGUCUCUCAUACACACAGUUCAUUUCUCUUCUCCUCGAUCUAUUGUUGCUGUGAUAUUUGCAAAAACACACAGAGGAACUCUGUUGAUCCCUGAGUCCCUGUCGAUAUGAUUGGGAUGAAUGAAAAAAGCUUGACUUCUUCCCCUUGACUUCAAUGUGCCUCCCCUGGAAUCUCUCAGACCCAUGGACAUGGCAUCAUUUGCCCUACAGUCUGUUUCCCACAAGCUGGGAAUACAGUCUACUGCCAAUAACAGCCUUCUUUGGAUCACAGCUUUCUCCCCAGUCUUUGAUUUCACAGGAUAAUGGAAGAUGGAUGUCACAGGACUGCUGUGAAUAGAUAGAGAAGACCAGAUAGCAGAGCACUUUGCAUCACAGAUAACACUAAAACAACAAAACCACAUCAAUGCAAUCUAAAGAUUUUAAAUAUUUUGCCCCACUGAAGAUGUAAGGAGAAUGUGUUUGGCAUCAGGAAAUGGGUUUUCAAACAUUUGAGAGCCACAGGCAUGGUUUGAAAAGAGAAAGCACUACAGCAGCCCUGUUGGAGGCUCAUCCAAGAGUUCUAGAAGUUAAUGAGUGCCGUGGUGGGAAAGGCUCCCCGGCAUCAUUUCUUAGAGAGGGUAGAGACUGGGCACCUGGGAGUGGCCAUGUCUGAAGGACUUUAACACUCAGGAGGAGCCAGGUAAUAACCCAUCCUUUACCACAGGGUUUAUCCUUAGAGGAAAGAACCAAAGGAGUCUUUGGGCCCAUCUAGCUUUCGCUUAGGUGAAAUCACUGUGUAGGAAGGAGUAAGAUGUUAUGAGCACAUCUUCAGAAGUAAAAGCAGUAGCAGAAAUCUUGAUAGCUAUAAGAGAGGGAGCCGGAACCAUGGACCUAUAUUCUUGGAACCUGAGUUUGCCAGCUUUGUCGCCCUCCAUCUCAGCAACAUUCUUAAUGUGAGAAGAGCCUAAUAAUCCCCUGAGGAAGCCAGUCCAGGCUCCGAUGGACCUCUGCACACAGCUGCAAUCCCAAGACCUUUUCAUGGUUCCGUAAUGCAGGUGGGAUAUUAAAAUGAAAUACCCAUGUCUUUGAAAUGUAAUAGGAUGAAAGAGCCAAAAAUGAGAACAAGAAAUCUGACAAUUAACCCAAGAACAUUUGUUUGCUAAUGAGAACUUUGGAAAUGUUGAGCCAAAUAUGAGAAUGCUAUUUAUUAUCCUGAAUAACUCAUUUCAUAAGGAAAGGGAUUGUUGUUCUUACUGCUUUUAGUUGUUGCUGAAUUUAAAUAUGAAGAAAUACCAUUUGCCUAAGGAGUGGAGGGCUAAAAAUACCAAUUCCGCUCCAAUAUCCCACUAGGAAUUCUUAAAGUAAAAGACAAACCAGGAAACCACCCCCCCCCAAGAAAAUCUCUCAUGUAUCAGCCAAAGCCUUCAACAGUUUUACAGUAGAGGUGAACUUCCAACAGAUCUGCUCAAUGAUGUUGACUUUAAUUGAUGUGAAAUCUGAUCUCACUUAAAAGAGCUGAUUUACUUCAAAGAAAAAGCUAACCCUCUGAUUCUACCACUUUAAUUAAUGAGAGAUAAAUAAUAAUCCUUUGGCCUCAAAAGAUCUUCCCCAUACUAUGAAAUAAGCUUUACCUGCGAAGGGAAGGGUAUGAGGAGGAAGAAGGAAAAUAGCCCCACACAGAGAUUAAAGAAAGUCUCUUGUGUUUUUCAAUUUGUGCCAGAAACACUCAUGCACUUUCUGGUCCUACAAAGGGUCCCUUCAGCCCUAUUUUCAUUCAUAAUUUAAUAUUCAUCUAAGAAACAUUAACAGACACCUACUCUAAGUUGGGUAGGAGCCUAGGGUGUUCUGUUCCUAGUGUUGAACAGAUAAAGGAAUUAUGACAUCCUUGUUCCCUCGGUGUUUUUUUUUUUUUCAUAAUCUAACAGUCUUGAAAUAAGUGAUUUCAGCACUAAGGUUAUGCUAUUGUGGGAAAACAAAGGAGUGCAUUCAGGAUUUUUCUUUUUUAAAAAACCUAAUGAUAGACUUACAUGGAAAUAUCAUUUUUCCUUUCUAAAAAUCUGUGAAAUCACAUUUAGCAAACCAAAAAUACUUCUACCUCAAUUAUCAGUGCUUAUUCCUAGUAACCCAAAAUCUAUAAGAUCUAUAACCCUAUCCACUCAUAUAAUGUGGUGUGACAAUUUCUAUCAAAAUAAUGACAAUAUUUCCUGAAACAUGGUAGAACAACACAAGAAUAGGAGCCAGGCCAAAACUCUCAGAAGUAACCAAUGAAGUCCUAAUGGCCCUCCACCCCAUCCUAUGGAUAUAUCUGUGUCAUAACAAAGGAGAGAGCACUGCUUUAGUGCAAGAAUUAAGUGCAUUCAAACCUGAGCUCUGCUCCUUGAAUGGUAAGAGUAGUCACUGCUGCCCUAACCCUGCUAUCGUGGGCUAAAAUCCCGUUGAAUUGUUUAUAAAACCCUGUGAGGCAUAUUCAUCAUCCAUUGUCAAACAUUAAGAAUAUGAGGUUCAAAGAGAUUAAGUAGUUUAUCCUGCUGAUAAGUAGCAGAGUCACGAUUUAAAUUCAGAACUGACCAGGUUUAAAGUGUUUCCACAGUGGACUCACCCCGUUUCAUGUCACAGCCCUCCAUCCCUUUACAUGUAAAAUGAACCCAGCAAGGCUUCUCUCACUAUAUUGUUGAGAGAAAUAAUUUAAAUGUGGUUAUGAGGAGUACCCAUCGUGGCACAGUGAAAACAAAUCUGUUAUCCAUGAGGCUGCAGGUUCGAUCCCUGGCCUUGCUUAGGGGGUUAUGGCUGUGUUGUAGGCCAGCAGCUACAGCUCAGAUUGGACCCCUAGCCUGGGAAACUCCAUAUGCCAUGGGUGCAGUCCUAAAAAGACAAAA